Molecule: unclassified non-coding RNA, 1205 nt
Filed under: Hevea brasiliensis (rubber tree)
Lineage: Eukaryota; Viridiplantae; Streptophyta; Magnoliopsida; Malpighiales; Euphorbiaceae
Source: RNAcentral
UACAGUCUUCCUUAGGAGGCAAUGCUAGGACUGCUAUCAUCUGCACUAUAAGCCCUGCACGAACCCAUGUUGAACAAUCUAGAAACACACUCCUGUUUGCAAGUUGUGCUAAGGAAGUGACAACCAAUGCACAUGUCAAUGUGGUUGUGUCUGAUAAAGCAUUGGUAAAGCAACUGCAAAGGGAAUUAGCUAGAUUGGAGAGUGAGUUGAGAAGUACAGGAUCUAAUUCUGGUACAUCAGAUUCCACAGAGUUACUGAGAGAAAAAGAUCUUCAGAUUGAAAAGGUGAUGUAAUAGGCUCCUUGCAUCACAUCAAGCACCUGUUAACUCCUACUUACCAUCAGCCUGCUUCUUGAUUUUAUGAAAGAACACUUGAAUUAACGAAAUAGAGGUACAUAUCAAUAAUAUUGAAUGCAUGAGGUAUAUCAUAUAUGUGCCUCAUAGAGCCUAGCCAUAAUAAAUAAAUAAAGAAAUAUUAAUUCAUCUUUAUGCUUAUCAGGAAAAGACAUUGUUAAAGCUUCGAAACUUAAUUCCUGCAUUCGGUGCUCUCAAUAUGUUCAUCUUCUGCAAAUUGGGUGAACUAUAAACCUCCCUUUGCAUAUUUUCUUCCUCCCUUUGCAUAUUUUCUUUCUCCAACAAGAACAUAUUUUCAUUUGACACAUAUAUGCAUCCAUGGAAACAUAUCCAUGUUAUGAUAUAUGUUUCAAUGUUGAACCCAAUUCCUGAGCAUCAACCCUAGAAACUUUGUCAACCAGUUCCCUUCCAUGCCCCAGGUAGUCAGGAGGUAAAAUCCUGGAUUCAGAAUGUUGACCAACUAGGAAGCACGUCCAAUUGCCACAGAGGCUACCCAUGGGCUGACCAUAUAUUGACUUUGACAUUAUAUGUGUAACCUCAGCUGGUUGACUGCAAAAUCUUGGAGGGCUUUUUUUUUGUUAAAUUAUUGUGGGCCUUUCUUCAUUUGCUAGAAUUCAACCAGAGCAGGGAAAGAUAGCUUGUACAAGAAGUUAAUUUAACCAUUAUAUGAAGUUGAUUCCACUGGAAACCAGCUCUCUAUCGCAUUCCCAUAUGUCAUAAUGAAACUUCCCCUAGCCUUCAUUGACCUUUAUAUUAAAUUAGAUCUGGGAGCAUCCCCCAUUAUGAAUUAGUCCAAUCUUUUUUUUAUCCUCAAAAAUUUUUGCAUGUAACUUUCAUCGAGUCUCAGUAUCU